This is a long non-coding RNA of Camelus dromedarius (Arabian camel), 862 nucleotides long. RefSeq lists it as uncharacterized. NCBI's taxonomy places the organism in Eukaryota, Metazoa, Chordata, Mammalia, Artiodactyla, Camelidae. The transcript is spliced from 4 exons. The record is from RefSeq and is a predicted model, not a curated record.
CGUAUUUGGCCUUGGUGUAAAGGUCAGUGAGUUGAAAUAAGGAUGAUAACAGCAGAGCUGAUGGUUUCAUUUUAUUAAUGAAAUAUCUACUGCGUUACCUACAAGGUGUGUGACACUGGCCUAUGCGCUGCAGAAGUGAAGCAGACACAGAUGUGGCUUCAAGUAUGUUCCUGCCCAGGAAAGGCAGCAGGCAAGGACCUGUACAGGCAACCCGGAGGACUCGCCACCUUCAGUCCACAAGGUUGCACUUGGGAUAAGGAAGGAAAUUCAAUGCCUUUGCACAUACUGUCCCUCUGCCUAGUCGGCUCCUCAGCGUCCUUCAGUAUUCAACUUAGUAUCGCCUCCUCCGAGAAGGCAAGUCUCCUCUGCUGCUUGCCACCCUCCUUGUCUGCAGCUGGAGUGAAGAGCCACUCUCCCAGUGCUUGGGCUCCCACCUGCCCAUGGAAAAUUUGUCUGAACACUGAAGUCUGCGGCCAUCUUGCUGGGAUUCAUUCAUAUCUGAGAAGGGGUUUCUGCUCUCACUUGAAACCCUCCACAGCCCACCACCAAUUCCUCUUCAAUCUGGCUCUCCCAGAGCAAAGAAAGAACAGCUGUGCAGAGAGGUAACCAUGACUCCAUAAUUUCCAGCCAACUCUGAAUAACAACAAAGGCCUGAAAUACGAGAAAAUGAAAGUCUUCUUUGGAGCAAACAUUCUGAUCAGCUUCAUCCUAACCCUUGCAGUAUCGGCGAUGUUUUGUGUUUGGGAGAGAGCCGUGGUUCAUGGGCUUUUAAGCAUGGAGACCCAGGAAUUGGGAGAAGCAAUUUGGUAAAAUUUCCUCUUUGCUACCUGGUCUCAUUUACUGGUAAGUCUGAACCCCACCA